This 442-nucleotide ribosomal RNA is filed under the name uncultured bacterium. Its description in RNAcentral is "partial 16S ribosomal RNA". It matches the Rfam family "Bacterial small subunit ribosomal RNA", at positions 338 to 795 of the family's 1533-position model. The record is from RNAcentral.
CCUACGGGUGGCUGCAGUCGGGGAUUUUGCACAAUGGGGGAAACCCUGAUGCAGCGACGCCGCGUGGGCGAAGAAGUAUUUCGGUAUGUAAAGUCCUUUCAGCAGGGAAGAAGAUAUGACGGUUACUGAGUAAGAAGCACGAGCUAAAUACGUGCGAGCAGCCGCGGUAAUAAGUAGGGAGCACGCGUUAUUCGGAUGUACUGGGUGUAAAGGGAGCGCAGGCGGCUCGGCAAGACUGUUGUGAGAGCCCGCGGCCCAACCGCGGGACUGCAUUGGGAACUACCGGGCUGGAGUGCCGGAGGGGGAGGCGGAAUUCCUAGUGUAGCGGUGAAAUGCGUAGAUAUUAGGAGGAACACCAGUGGCGAAGGCGGGCUACUGGACGGUGACUGACGCUGAGGCUCGAAGGCGUGGGGAGCAAACAGGAUUAGAUACCCGAGUAGUC